RNAcentral lists this long non-coding RNA (215 nucleotides) under Manihot esculenta (cassava). RNAcentral's name for it is "long non-coding RNA (MESC_LNC013029)". The record is from RNAcentral. Lineage: Eukaryota; Viridiplantae; Streptophyta; Magnoliopsida; Malpighiales; Euphorbiaceae.
UGCUUGUUUCAGGAGCUUUUAGAGGGCUUUUGGGAAGUUGUUUGUAAGUUAAUAAGAGUAUGUUUGACACCUCAUUCGAGUCCAUUUGUGUAGGAUUGGACCCGACAGUUCAGGGAGGUAGUCAGGAUUAGCAGUUGCAGAGUCAGUCAGGUUUCUGCUUGAGGAGCAGAGGUGAGUAGAACUAAACUUAAUCUUUUCGACUGAGAAAAUGGAAU